Molecule: ribosomal RNA, 254 nt
Filed under: uncultured bacterium
Lineage: Bacteria
Description: partial 16S ribosomal RNA
Rfam family: Bacterial small subunit ribosomal RNA
Source: RNAcentral
UACGUAGGGUGCGAGCGUUGUCCGGAAUUACUGGGCGUAAAGCGCACGCAGGCGGUCUGCUAAGUUUGGAGUGACAGUUGGUGGCUUAACUGCCAAAGUGCUUCGAAAACUGACAGACUUGAGGGCUUCAGAGGGACACGGAAUUCCGGGUGGAGUGGUGAAAUGCGUAGAGAUCCGGAGGAACACCAAAGGCGAAGGCAGUGUCCUGGGGAGUACCUGACGCUCAGGUGCGAAAGCCAGGGGAGCGAGCGGGG